This 278-nucleotide ribosomal RNA is filed under the name uncultured bacterium. RNAcentral describes it as "partial 16S ribosomal RNA". It matches the Rfam family "Bacterial small subunit ribosomal RNA", at positions 74 to 354 of the family's 1533-position model. The record is from RNAcentral.
CCGGCCUCCGCCGGCGACCGGCGCACGGGUGAGUAACACGUAUGCAACCUGGCCCGCGGACGGGGACAACCCGGGGAAACCCGGACUAAUACCCGGCGGGGCCUGGAGGGGCAUCCCCUCCGGCUGAAGGAGGCGACUCCGCCGCGGGAUGGGCAUGCGGCGCAUUAGCUUGUUGGCGGGGCAACGGCCCACCAAGGCGACGAUGCGUAGGGGUUCUGAGAGGAAGGUCCCCCACACUGGAACUGAGACACGGUCCAGACUCCUACGGGAGGCAGCAG